GAUUUCCUUAGGUUCUUUUUUUGCUAGUUGAUGUUCACUUCUUUCUAGUUUUCUCCCAUUCAUCCUAAUUGUAGAUUGCAACUACUUCUGACAUUUAGUAAGUGCAUUAUGGUAUAUAUUUACAUUUUUCUUUAUUACUUCACUGCUGCAAUGUCCAUUACUUGUUCCACAAGGCUAAGAGUGUCAGAUUGGACUCAAGUUAUUGUGCUGUUACAGGGAGCAAGUGUUUGCAUUUUUGGGUUUAUAGCUUUAAUU
Molecule: unclassified non-coding RNA, 255 nt
Filed under: Hevea brasiliensis (rubber tree)
Lineage: Eukaryota; Viridiplantae; Streptophyta; Magnoliopsida; Malpighiales; Euphorbiaceae
Source: RNAcentral